Molecule: ribosomal RNA, 435 nt
Filed under: uncultured bacterium
Lineage: Bacteria
Description: partial 16S ribosomal RNA
Rfam family: Bacterial small subunit ribosomal RNA
Source: RNAcentral
AGCGAACGCUGGCGGCAGGCUUAACACAUGCAAGUCGAGCGGGCACUUUCGGGUGUCAGCGGCGGACGGGUGAGUAACGCAUGGGAACGUGCCCUCUGGUUCGGAAUAACUCAGGGAAACUUGAGCUAAUACCGGAUACGCCCUUUUGGGGAAAGGCUUGCUGCCGGAGGAUCGGCCCGCGUCUGAUUAGCUAGUUGGUGAGGUAACGGCUCACCAAGGCGACGAUCAGUAGCUGGUCUGAGAGGAUGAUCAGCCACACUGGGACUGAGACACGGCCCAGACUCCUACGGGAGGCAGCAGUGGGGAAUAUUGGACAAUGGGCGCAAGCCUGAUCCAGCCAUGCCGCGUGAGUGAUGAAGGCCUUAGGGUUGUAAAGCUCUUUUAUCCGGGACGAUAAUGACGGUACCGGAGGAAUAAGCCCCGGCUAACUUCGUG